Molecule: ribosomal RNA, 494 nt
Filed under: uncultured bacterium
Lineage: Bacteria
Description: partial 16S ribosomal RNA
Rfam family: Bacterial small subunit ribosomal RNA
Source: RNAcentral
GACGAACGCUGGCGGCGUGCUUAACACAUGCAAGUCGAACGGAAAGGCCUGCUUUCCCUUGUGGAUUGCGGGUACUCGAGUGGCGAACGGGUGAGCAACACGUGAGUGAUCUGCCCCCAACUUGGGUAUAAGCCUGGGAAACUGGGUCUAAUUCCCGAUAGGACUGCAGGGUGGUGCCUGUGGUGGAAAACGAUUUUCUAGUGGUUGGGGAUGAGCUCGCGGCCUAUCAGCUUGUUGGUGGGGUAAUGGCCUACCAAGGCGGCGACGGGUAGCCGGCCUGAGAGGGUGGACGGACACAUUGGGACUGAGAUACGGCCCAGACUCCUACGGGAGGCAGCAGUGGGGAAUAUUGCACAAUGGGCGGAAGCCUGAUGCAGCGACGCCGCGUGGGGGAUGACGGCCUUCGGGUUGUAAACUCCUUUCGACCGCGAGGAAGCCACCUGGUUGGAAGGGUGGUGACGGUAGUGGUAGAAGAAGCACCGGCUAACUACGUG